Molecule: unclassified non-coding RNA, 337 nt
Filed under: soil metagenome
Description: partial contains 5.8S ribosomal RNA, internal transcribed spacer 2, and large subunit ribosomal RNA
Rfam family: 5.8S ribosomal RNA (bases 1-120)
Source: RNAcentral
GAUGAAGAACGCAGUGAAAUGCGAUAAGUAGUGUGAAUUGCAGAAUUCAGUGAAUCAUCGAAUCUUUGAACGCACAUUGCGCCCCUUGGUAUUCCAUGGGGCAUGCCUGUUCGAGCGUCAUUUGUACCUUCAAGCUCCGCUUGGUGUUGGGUGUUUGUCUCGCCUUUGCGUGUAGACUCGCCUUAAAACCAUUGGCAGCCGGCGUAUUGAUUUCGGAGCGCAGUACAUCUCGCGCUUUGCACUCAGAACGACGACGUCCAAAAGUACAUUUUUACACUCUUGACCUCGGAUCAGGUAGGGAUACCCGCUGAACUUAAGCAUAUCAAUAAGCGGAGGA